This 253-nucleotide ribosomal RNA is filed under the name uncultured bacterium. Its description in RNAcentral is "partial 16S ribosomal RNA". It matches the Rfam family "Bacterial small subunit ribosomal RNA", at positions 524 to 776 of the family's 1533-position model. The record is from RNAcentral.
UACGGAGGAUCCAAGCGUUAUCCGGAAUCAUUGGGUUUAAAGGGUCCGUAGGCGGUUUGGUAAGUCAGUGGUGAAAGCCCAUCGCUCAACGGUGGAACGGCCAUUGAUACUGCUAGACUUGAAUUAUUAGGAAGUAACUAGAAUAUGUAGUGUAGCGGUGAAAUGCUUAGAGAUUACAUGGAAUACCAAUUGCGAAGGCAGGUUACUACUAAUGGAUUGACGCUGAUGGACGAAAGCGUGGGGAGCAAACAGG